This is a non-coding RNA of Danio rerio (zebrafish), 373 nucleotides long. The record is from RefSeq and is a predicted model, not a curated record. Lineage: Eukaryota; Metazoa; Chordata; Actinopteri; Cypriniformes; Danionidae.
CAGAAUCCAUGAAACUGGCAGUGACUGGAAACCAAUUGGAAGACUUUGGUCUGUGAUGUAGAGGAGUGGGCAGAGGCAGAAGCAAAGACAUCAAAAAGAAGAAGUGAUGUGGAUGUCUUCGUCAUAUUGCAUGACUCUGCUGACCCAGCAACAAAGAGGAGGGUGUUCAACAUCAUCCUGCUAGUCAGGAUUCUUCAGGAGAAGCAGUGGAUUCUUGUGGCAGAGAUGGUCAACCACUAGAAAUACCUUUCAACUCAUCCUGGUUCUUUCAAAGAACUUUCUUGCUUGUUUGCUACUGAAAUGUACUGAUUCGACAUGUGGCCUUAACGAAGAGGGGUUAAAAGGUCUAUGGAUCAUCAUUCUCAAAAAGCAA